Molecule: ribosomal RNA, 253 nt
Filed under: uncultured bacterium
Lineage: Bacteria
Description: partial 16S ribosomal RNA
Rfam family: Bacterial small subunit ribosomal RNA
Source: RNAcentral
UACGUAGGGUGCGAGCGUUGUCCGGAAUUACUGGGCGUAAAGAGCUCGUAGGUGGUUUGUCGCGUUGUUCGUGAAAACUCACAACUCAAUUGUGGGCGUGCGGGCGAUACGGGCAGACUGGAGUACUGCAGGGGAGACUGGAAUUCCUGGUGUAGCGGUGGAAUGCGCAGAUAUCAGGAGGAACACCGGUGGCGAUGGCGGGUCUCUGGGCCGUAACUGACGCUGAGGAGCGAAAGCGUGGGGAGCGAACAGG